Molecule: long non-coding RNA, 580 nt
Filed under: Ricinus communis (castor bean)
Lineage: Eukaryota; Viridiplantae; Streptophyta; Magnoliopsida; Malpighiales; Euphorbiaceae
Description: long non-coding RNA (RCOM_LNC000024)
Source: RNAcentral
GAAGAUAUUAUAGCCGUACCCAAAUACAAUAUUAUGUGAUUUUCUCACAUUCACAUUACUAUUUUGCCAGCUUUGCAUGGCUAAUAAGGUGCCAAAAACUAAAUUCAUACUGCACUUUUAUUUUUCCAUUUUCAUUUCUUAAGUAUUAAGAAACAAUCAGAUGGCAGACAAUUUCUCUAAUUAAUUUGUCUCUUUGUACAAACAAGCUUCGAGUUCUUGUCCGUGACUAUUGAUGACUUCACAAACGUUGCCUGAUAUCAGAGAAGAAAAUAAAUUAAAAGUGGAAAAGAAAAGCUAAUUUGUUAUACUUCCUGUAUGACAAGAAAACAGAUCGACAAGUAACAAAAUUUGAUUAAUUGAUAACCUAACGCAUAAAAGAAAAGAAAAAAGGCAGCUAAAAUAUGGCAGAUAGAGCAGUUAAGAAUUAAUUUAAUAACAUAAGUUUGUAAUUGUAACUGAAUUACGUAAUUAUGAGUUGAAGCCCACAUGAGAGUUCACUGGCAAGCAUAGCUCCUUCUGUCACGCCAUGUGAUCGCUAAUUCUAAUUCACUAAAAUGGGCAGCAACUGCAAAAAUAAGAC